UCUCCUGGGAAACGGGUGGUAAUGCCGGAUGCUCCAGUUGAUCGCAUGGUCUUCUGGGAAAGCUUUCGCGGUAUGGGAUGGGGUCGCGUCCUAUCAGCUUGACGGCGGGGUAACGGCCCACCGUGGCUUCGACGGGUAGCCGGCCUGAGAGGGCGACCGGCCACAUUGGGACUGAGAUACGGCCCAGACUCCUACGGGAGGCAGCAGUGGGGAAUAUUGCACAAUGGGCGCAAGCCUGAUGCAGCGACGCCGCGUGAGGGAUGGAGGCCUUCGGGUUGUAAACCUCUUUUAUCGGGGAGCAAGCGAGAGUGAGUUUACCCGUUGAAUAAGCACCGGCUAACUACGUGCCAGCAGCCGCGGUAAUACGUAGGGUGCAAGCGUUAUCCGGAAUUAUUGGGCGUAAAGGGCUCGUAGGCGGUUCGUCGCGUCCGGUGUGAAAGUCCAUCGCUUAACGGUGGAUCCGCGCCGGGUACGGGCGGGCUUGAGUGCGGUAGGGGAGACUGGAAUUCCCGGUGUAACGGUGGAAUGUGUAGAUAUCGGAAAGAACACC
This 550-nucleotide ribosomal RNA is filed under the name Bifidobacterium longum subsp. suillum. RNAcentral describes it as "bacterial SSU rRNA". It matches the Rfam family "Bacterial small subunit ribosomal RNA", at positions 146 to 710 of the family's 1533-position model. The record is from RNAcentral. Lineage: Bacteria; Bacillati; Actinomycetota; Actinomycetes; Bifidobacteriales; Bifidobacteriaceae.